CGAACGGGUGAGUAACACUGGGCAACCUGCCCAAAANAGGGGGAUAACACUUGGAAACAGGGUGCUAAUACCGCAUAACCAUAGUUACCGCAUGGUAACUAUGUAAAAGGUGGCUAUGCUACCGCUUUUGGAUGGGCCCGCGGCGCAUUAGCUAGUUGGUGGGGUAAAGGCUUACCAAGGCAAUGAUGCGUAGCCGAACUGAGAGGUUGAUCCGGCCACAUUGGGACUGAGACACGGCCAAACUCCUACGGGAGGCAGCAG
Molecule: ribosomal RNA, 261 nt
Filed under: uncultured bacterium
Lineage: Bacteria
Description: partial 16S ribosomal RNA
Rfam family: Bacterial small subunit ribosomal RNA
Source: RNAcentral